RNAcentral lists this long non-coding RNA (824 nucleotides) under Oryza brachyantha (malo sina). Its description in RNAcentral is "long non-coding RNA (OBRA_LNC000923)". Lineage: Eukaryota; Viridiplantae; Streptophyta; Magnoliopsida; Poales; Poaceae. The record is from RNAcentral.
CGCCGCCGCGGUUGCCGCCGUCGCACGGACCCGCCGACGAGCUCGCGUGCUGGCCGGGGAGGUGGCUCGGCUGCGCGCCGCCACUGUUCAUCGAUCUGGACCUCCUCCUCAGGAUCAUCUCUUGCACCUUCGAUCUCAGGAACAUUUCAAGAACCGAACCAAUUCAAACAAUUCUCUCUCUGCAAAAAAUGGCAGCAUAAAGCAAACGUCAAAUCACUGUGCCUUAAAAUUCUUGCACCAAGAACUGAUCAGGCUGCAGAAACAGAAGAGAAUUCCACUGCUCAGCUCAGCUCAGCUCAGCUCAAUACCUUCUUCUCCAAACUGUGACAGCAACAAGCAGCAGCUAGCAAAGAACAGGCAGAUCUUGCAGCUCCGUGGACGAUCGACGCAGGCAGGCCGCGAGUUUAAGCACGGAGCACGAGGCCAGCCAAACGGCCAAAGCCUCAGAAGUGUACUCAGACGCAACACCAAGCUCAGGAGGACAAGCAAAAUGGGACCUUGCAGCUCUGCAAGCUACAAAGGAGUUGGCAAGAUCCUCAAGCUAUCUAUCAUCGAUUCAUCGCCUUCUUGUCGUAAUUGUGUGCCUUGCUCGCCGCACUCACCCCACCAAAGGGAAGAACAGCUCAAUCACUCACUCACCCACAGUCUCGAGUGACAUGUAGAAGAAGAAGAGGAAGAAGAAGACGAGAGAGAGGUUGGUGAUAGCAGCACAGCACAAUGGGGGAGGUUGGGAGGGUGGCGAUCUUAAAGAAGACCCUCUCUUCUCUUCCUCGCUGUGAAUGUGAUGUCAGCGUUGGUUUGUGUGUGCUUGCAUCCAAAGGGCA